This is a non-coding RNA of Coffea arabica (coffee), 955 nucleotides long. NCBI's taxonomy places the organism in Eukaryota, Viridiplantae, Streptophyta, Magnoliopsida, Gentianales, Rubiaceae. The record is from RefSeq and is a predicted model, not a curated record.
AGUUUUAAAAUUUUCCUUUAUUUUGACUGAUUUUUGUCAUGUUUGUUUCAGGGUGCAAGUUUAAGGUUUGCAUGUUAUUAUCUGGUAUCCUCAAUCUCUACAGAACCCGCCAGGUAAAAAAACACAAGGAAGGCCACUAAAGGAGGAAUUACAGCAAAAGUAAGUCAAGUAGCCAAGAUCUAAGUUUGACGCAGGGAGUGCAAGGAGAAAAGGUCCUUCCUGGGAUUGUUCUUCUGCUCGCUCAACUAUCUCUUUUCAUUGAGCAAAGUGCUAUCCCAAGAAUUACCGAGAAAUAGCUUCUUCCUUUUCUUCUGGUGGUGCUCGGGGUUACGAGUAUGGCCCUGCUUUCAUCCCUGCAGUGAUUUGUCGCACCUUCCGGGUAGUUGGGGAGAAGUGCUUGGACCAUUAUGUAAGGUUAAGAACUCAAAAGAUAUCAGUUCUGUUGCGGACGAAGUUUACAACACCAAACUAGGUUAAGCACAAGGAGCCAAGAGAGGUUCAUAUGUUCGUUGAUCUGCUGCUUCAAGAGUUCGAAGCCAUAAGAGGCGAAGUAAAGCAGAUUUUACCUCCAGAACUUAGCCGUAAACAUCGUUGUACAGACAGUAACGGGAGCACCACUUCUUGUCGCAACAAUCCUUUGAGAGACGACAGAAUGAACCGGUCAAAUACCCAAAGGGCCACGAACCAGCUACUGGAAUCCCAUCUGGCAAAAUUGUUUAAACAAAAAAUGGGGAUAUUUAUGAAAAUUGAAUUCACACAGGUUUGGUAGGAGUGCUUGUUGCUAGGUAAUUUACAUUAUUCCCACUGGUAAUAUAGCUAUUUUUUAGUUCUUUGUAAUGAUGAUGAUCCUUAAAGGACAUCAAGGACAUCAAUAAAUCAAAUUUUCUGACUUUUUGAUGGUUUAUUAGAGGAUGUAGUUUUAUAUUGCCAACUUCAAUGGCAUUUCUUCGUGAAA